Molecule: transfer RNA, 63 nt
Filed under: Balta maculata
Lineage: Eukaryota; Metazoa; Arthropoda; Insecta; Blattodea; Pseudophyllodromiidae
Description: tRNA-Asp
Source: RNAcentral
AAGAGAUUAGUUAAUUCAAUAACACUAGUAUGUCAUACUAAAAUUAUCACAAGGUAUCUCUUU